RNAcentral lists this ribosomal RNA (427 nucleotides) under uncultured bacterium. Its description in RNAcentral is "bacterial SSU rRNA". It matches the Rfam family "Bacterial small subunit ribosomal RNA", at positions 355 to 774 of the family's 1533-position model. The record is from RNAcentral.
UGGGGAAUUUUGGACAAUGGGCGAAAGCCUGAUCCAGCCAUGCCGCGUGAGUGAAGAAGGCCUUCGGGUUGUAAAGCUCUUUUAGUCGGAAAGAAAGAGUUGCAAUGAAUAAUUGUGAUUUAUGACGGUACCGACAGAAAAAGCACCGGCUAACUACGUGCCAGCAGCCGCGGUAAUACGUAGGGUGCGAGCGUUAAUCGGAAUUACUGGGCGUAAAGGGUGCGCAGGCGGUCUUGCAAGUCAGAUGUGAAAGCCCCGGGCUUAACCUGGGAAUUGCGUUUGNAACUACAAGGCUAGAGUGCAGCAGAGGGGAGUGGAAUUCCAUGUGUAGCAGUGAAAUGCGUAGAGAUGUGGAAGAACACCGAUGGCGAAGGCAGCUCCCUGGGUUGACACUGACGCUCAUGCACGAAAGCGUGGGGAGCGAACA